UACGUAGGGGGCUAGCGUUGUCCGGAAUCAUUGGGCGUAAAGAGCGUGUAGGCGGUCCGGUAAGUCCGCUGUGAAAGUCGGGGGCUCAACCCUCGAAUGCCGGUGGAUACUGUCGGGCUAGAGUGCGGAAGAGGCGAGUGGAAUUCCUGGUGUAGCGGUGAAAUGCGCAGAUAUCAGGAGGAACACCAACGGCGAAGGCAGCUUGCUGGGACGUUACUGACGCUGAGACGCGAAAGCGUGGGGAGCAAACAGG
RNAcentral lists this ribosomal RNA (253 nucleotides) under uncultured bacterium. Its description in RNAcentral is "partial 16S ribosomal RNA". It matches the Rfam family "Bacterial small subunit ribosomal RNA", at positions 524 to 776 of the family's 1533-position model. The record is from RNAcentral.